AGGGAGACUGCCGGUGAUAAACCGGAGGAAGGUGGGGACGACGUCAAGUCAUCAUGGCCCUUACGAGUAGGGCUACACACGUGCUACAAUGGCGCAUACAGAGGGCGGCCAACUUGCGAAAGUGAGCGAAUCCCAAAAAGUGCGUCGUAGUCCGGAUUGGAGUCUGCAACUCGACUCCAUGAAGUCGGAAUCGCUAGUAAUCGUGGAUCAGAAUGCCACGGUGAAUACGUUCCCGGGCCUUGUACACACCGCCCGUCACACCAUGGGAGUGGGCUGCAAAAGAAGUAGGUAGUUUAACCUUCGGGGGGACGCUUACCACUUUGUGGUUCAUGACUGGGGUGAAGUCGUAACAAGGUAGCGCUAGGGGAACCUGGCGCUGGAUCACCUCCUUAAACGAUGAU
This 401-nucleotide ribosomal RNA is filed under the name Vibrio parahaemolyticus. RNAcentral describes it as "bacterial SSU rRNA". It matches the Rfam family "Bacterial small subunit ribosomal RNA", at positions 1142 to 1533 of the family's 1533-position model. Lineage: Bacteria; Pseudomonadati; Pseudomonadota; Gammaproteobacteria; Vibrionales; Vibrionaceae. The record is from RNAcentral.